GAAGAAGUAAUCGUCUAGGUGGCAGGACGGGUGAGUAACACGUGGGUAACCUACCUUCAAGCUGGGGAUAACGUUUGGAAACGAACGCUAAUACCGAAUAAGAUAUAGCAAUAUAUUGAAAGAAGCCCUUAAAAGCUUCACUUAAAGAUGGGCCUGCGGCGUAUUAACUAGUUGGUGAGGUAACGGCCCACCAAGUCUGCGAUCAGUAGCCGGACUGAGAGGUUGAUCGGCCACAUUGGGACUGAGACACGGCCCAGACUCCUACGGGAGGCAGCAGUGGGGGAUAUUGCACAAUGGGAGAAAGCCUGAUGCAGCGACGCCGCGUGAGGGAAGACGGUUUUCGGAUUGUAAACCUCUGUCUUCGGGGACGAAAAUGACGGUACCCGAGGAGGAAGCCACGGCUAACUACGUG
Molecule: ribosomal RNA, 412 nt
Filed under: uncultured bacterium
Lineage: Bacteria
Description: bacterial SSU rRNA
Rfam family: Bacterial small subunit ribosomal RNA
Source: RNAcentral